UCUAAACUCUCCAGCAACAAUGAUCUGUCAGAGCUGUUUAACAAGUGCAAAGACUACAUUGUUUUCUCUUUUCAAGGAAGCAGCUGGAGUGAGAAAGUCGAUGAUCUCUGCCAGGUAGUUUAUCUUAGUCCUGAGGUGAUCGAUAAUUGCAUGCAUCUUUAGCUUUUGCCAAGUCAUUCAGGCAAAGCUGAACCCUUGUGUUUAGCAUGUUACUUAAUGAAUUGAAUGAAGGGCAAUUUCAAAUGCUAUUCAAAAUGCAAUGGCAUUAUAUCGUUUCCUUAGGAUCUGUUUGCCAUAUGGAAGCAGCCCAUGUAGAGCACAUAUAUGAGCAUACAGCUCAUGCACAACAACCAAUUUGCACCAUUUUUCUGCUUUUCUUCUCUCAUUAUGCUAAUAAUUAGCAUUGCCAAGGUUUUCUUAUCCAAAAUUUAUUAUACAAAAGUAGUUUACAAUCUUUCUCUUCUGUAACUCUUUUCAUACUUAACAUAAAAA
Molecule: unclassified non-coding RNA, 492 nt
Filed under: Hevea brasiliensis (rubber tree)
Lineage: Eukaryota; Viridiplantae; Streptophyta; Magnoliopsida; Malpighiales; Euphorbiaceae
Source: RNAcentral